UGCCGCGUGUGUGAAGAAGGCCUUCGGGUUGUAAAGCACUUUUGUCCGGAAAGAAAUCCUUGGCUCUAAUACAGUCGGGGGAUGACGGUACCGGAAGAAUAAGCACCGGCUAACUACGUGCCAGCAGCCGCGGUAAUACGUAGGGUGCGAGCGUUAAUCGGAAUUACUGGGCGUAAAGCGUGCGCAGGCGGUUUGCUAAGACCGAUGUGAAAUCCCCGGGCUCAACCUGGGAACUGCAUUGGUGACUGGCAGGCUAGAGUAUGGCAGAGGGGGGUAGAAUUCCACGUGUAGCAGUGAAAUGCGUAGAGAUGUGGAGGAAUACCGAUGGCGAAGGCAGCCCCCUGGGCCAAUACUGACGCUCAUGCACGAAAGCGUGGGGAGCAAACAGGAUUAGAUACCCUGGUAGUCCACGCCCUAAACGAUGUCAACUAGUUGUUGGGGAUUCAUUUCCUUAGUAACGUAGCUAACGCGUGAAGUUGACCGCCUGGGGAGUACGGUCGCAAGAUUAAAACUCAAAGGAAUUGACGGGGACCCGCACAAGCGGUGGAUGAUGUGGAUUAAUUCGAUGCAACGCGAAAAACCUUACCUACCCUUGACAUGGUCGGAAUCCUGCUGAGA
RNAcentral lists this ribosomal RNA (618 nucleotides) under Burkholderia sp. IBa202. RNAcentral's name for it is "bacterial SSU rRNA". It matches the Rfam family "Bacterial small subunit ribosomal RNA", at positions 395 to 1006 of the family's 1533-position model. Lineage: Bacteria; Pseudomonadati; Pseudomonadota; Betaproteobacteria; Burkholderiales; Burkholderiaceae. The record is from RNAcentral.